CUGGUGAAAAUCCACCACACCACACAAAUGUUCCUUUUUUAAGAUGUCCAAAUCUCACUUUGGUAAAUCAAUGGAAUGAAAAAAACUUUUACAUGCCUUUCAUAUAUUGGAGAUCUCACAUCAUGCUCAUUCAAUAAACUUUACACAGUUCUUUUCUUUGUUUAGAUGAGAAUCAAUAUAUCUUCAUCAAUGCUGGCUUGAUACUCCAGAACAGGGAUUUCUGAUUCUGAAUCAAGAACAGGGAAGUUCUUUCAGGCAUGUGUCAGACUUACAGCUUCAGUGGGACCUGAUCCACUUCUAAAUGAUCUGGAUUGUCACAGAAAAAGGACAGAGUAGGCCAGAACCAAGUGAAUUGGAUCUUUAAAGGUUCAGAAAACUUAUGAGGGAGUAAGUGUUUGAAGCAGCUUUGAUGUACCACAAGGUCAAGGAUCCUACCACAGCUUUUGAAUGCAGCAGGGUCCUGUUCUGCAGAAGAUCUACUGUUUAUACAACGUGGAAUCCAUCUCUGAAGCUGAAAAUGGGCAUUCCAGGGAAGAAAUGGGCACCCUGUAGUGGAGAAACAGAGCUGGAAGAUGUUCAGAAGCACAGAUUGCUUCAGAUGUGCCCAAAUGGGUGACAUGUUCUAGUCACUGUUUGAAUUUCUGCUCCUGGAGAUGGUAGUGAUAGUAAAAGGUUCUAAAAUCUUAGAAAAUUCGGAGACUUAGAAAGAAAGUUAGGUUUGCCAAGCCCUGGGAAAAGUAGGCCCUGGGAAAUGUUAGGCCUUGUGCUUGCUAAAGAUCAGGUCAAACUGCAGGUGUGUAGUCAGUACAUGAUAAAUGAUACAAUUGUUAGAUGUGAUUAGAUAUAAUUAUUGUUUAAAAAAUAUGAGGAACAAUGUUAGGGGGCUGGGGGGGAUCACGAGAAAUCCAUGCUUGGGUAAAAACAAUGCAUACAAUGGAACAAUGUAAGUUUAAUAAUUAAUAUGUAAGUUAUAUAAUGAUAGAGUAUAAAAUAUGUUCAACUCAAAACCAAAAUCAGGUCAGAUUUGGGUAUGUGUACCCCUGACACCCAGAGCUCUUCAAUAAAGCACCUUCAUAUAAUCA
This 1082-nucleotide long non-coding RNA is filed under the name Cyanistes caeruleus (blue tit). Its description in RNAcentral is "lncRNA (ENSCCEG00000012615.1)". The record is from RNAcentral. Lineage: Eukaryota; Metazoa; Chordata; Aves; Passeriformes; Paridae.